RNAcentral lists this transfer-messenger RNA (379 nucleotides) under Patescibacteria group. Its description in RNAcentral is "1-14-0-10-41-10 sp002773695 X1 Standard tmRNA". It matches the Rfam family "transfer-messenger RNA". Rfam says of the family: Bacterial tmRNA, also known as 10Sa RNA or SsrA, is named for its dual tRNA and mRNA-like properties. The record is from RNAcentral. RNAcentral also lists the same sequence under 1 other name.
GGGGCUGCAUAGCUUCGACAAUUGUUCUUUGUAAUAUACGGCAAGCAAGAGCGGCUACAGGCUCUGAUUGUAGCAACUACAAAUGCAAACUCGUUUGUAAACAAAGUCAAACUGGCCUUUACGUCAGCUUUGGCUCCUGUUGCUGUUUAACUGUGACAGGCGAAACUGCUAUCGACUCCGAUAAGUAUCAGUUUCGUAUCAUUUUCGGACGAUCCCUGAUUCUUUUACGAGGUUAAAGGAUCGAAGUCAUUCGUAAAUCGGACUUGAUUCAUUUUGUUAAUUUUUUAGUUUUGAGUCCUAAAUCAAAAAAUUGACUAAGCUUGUAGAAGUGUAUUGAUCGGACUUUUGGACGCGGGUGCGAUUCCCGCCAGCUCCACUU